Molecule: ribosomal RNA, 586 nt
Filed under: unidentified
Description: nr. Robsonomyia sp. NB-2020 partial 28S ribosomal RNA
Rfam family: Eukaryotic large subunit ribosomal RNA
Source: RNAcentral
AAACCGCUUAGGGGUUAAGCCCGAUGAACCUGAAUAUCUGAAAUGAGAAAUUCAAUAACAUUUUUAUUGUGCGCGUUCUGCGCGCAUGCGUAAACUAUGUUGUGCACUUUUCUCAUAGUAAGACAUUGCAAUCCAUUAGUUUUGAUUUAUGGUUUAUCAAACGGCCCGUUCGUUUAGCUUAUUCUAUCUGUGAUAAUUUCACAAUUGUCAUAUGAAUAAAAGCAUAUAACGCGGUGUCCCGGUAAACGGCUGAUGGAGUUUUACAAUCAUGCAAACAUGUUUGCCAUGUAUCACGAUUCGAAAAUAUUUUAUUUUCGUCUAUUUUGAUGUGAUCGCAUGUAUUUGAUUAGCAAUGCGAUAGAUUUGGGAUACCUUCGGGACCCGUCUUGAAACACGGACCAAGAAGUCUAACAUGUGUGCGAGUCAUUGGGUAUUUAAUGUGUAAACCUAAAGGCGCAAUUAAAAUAACUAUUUUAUUGGGAUUACAAGCAAUUUAUUAUUGAAUUGAUUCUCCAUCCCGGGGCGUUCUAUAUGAACAUGUUGCAAGCGAUUGUGUCCUCUGUUCGAGAGCGUACCUUGAGCAUAC